Molecule: unclassified non-coding RNA, 175 nt
Filed under: soil metagenome
Description: partial internal transcribed spacer 1
Source: RNAcentral
CCGAGUUUUCAACUCCCAAACCCCUGUGAACAUACCAAUCGUUGCCUCGGCGGGAGAGCCCCGGGCGUUGGCGAAAGCCUCGCACCGGUUAUCAGGGCCGCCCGCCGGAGGACCCAAACAAACUCUUGAAUUCUAAAGUAUCUUCUGAGUAACAUUAAGCUAAAUAAGUAAAUUA